Molecule: long non-coding RNA, 596 nt
Filed under: Phoenix dactylifera (date palm)
Lineage: Eukaryota; Viridiplantae; Streptophyta; Magnoliopsida; Arecales; Arecaceae
Description: long non-coding RNA (PDAC_LNC002352)
Source: RNAcentral
AAAACAUAUCAUGCUUUUCAUAAAUCUUUUCUCAUCGGUACAUUGGAAAGUGAGUAAUGGCAUCAUGCUGAAUAAAAUUCAUGAUCAUGCUGAAAACUUUAUUUUUCUUUCCAUGCAUCUUUCUACCUCAUCAUAAUAAUGUAUAAAUAAUAUAAUAAUCAUUAUGGAUGCUAUUUAUCCAAAAUCAUGCAAUUAUUUGCUAACACAUGUUGGAUCCUAAUUUUGUGAAAAUAUAAAUAAUCAUAUACAAUUUCAUAAUCAAAUAGUCACAAGUAUUUGAUAAAACAUAAGAUUAUAUCCGGGUUACUUAUAUUUUCCACAAUUCAUAUACACAAUUCCAAUUCUAUAAAUAAUACUUUUUCACCAUAUAAAACGUGAUACAUGAUCCAUAAUAAGAUUAAGACAUGUUACUUACCUUAAUUUGCCCAUCAAAUGCCAAUUCUUCAAUACCUAGCAAGAUCAUUAAAUUACAUGUCACUGACAUAUUUAAUUUCUAUUUAUUUAUAAUCUUAAAGUCAUUUACAACCCAUCCAUAGGACUCAAUUUCAUUUUCGGGUCCAUAGCCCAAUUUAAUUUCUGGUUCAGGCCCAUGGCCC